RNAcentral lists this ribosomal RNA (253 nucleotides) under uncultured bacterium. Its description in RNAcentral is "partial 16S ribosomal RNA". It matches the Rfam family "Bacterial small subunit ribosomal RNA", at positions 524 to 776 of the family's 1533-position model. The record is from RNAcentral.
UACAGAGGCCACGAGCGUUAGGCGGAAUCACUGGGCUUAAAGCGUGUGUAGGUGGAUCGGUAAGUACCUUGUGAAAUCCCACGACUCAAUCGUGGAACUGCUUGGUAUACUGCCAGUCUUGAGGCACUCAGGGGCGAGCGGAACAGAUGGUGGAGCGGUGAAAUGCGUAGAUAUCGGGAGGAACACCAGUGGCGAAGGCGGCUCUCUGGGCAGGUACCGACGCUGAGACGCGAAAGCGUGGGAAGCAAACAGG